GACCAACCCUCAAAGACUGCUGCAUCUUUAGGAUAUUCUAGUCCAACAUCGAGGUCACAAACUUUCUUUUCGAUAAGAACUCUCGAAGAAAAUUAUGCUGUUAUCCCUAUGGUAACUAACUUCAUUAAUCAGGAUUCCUGGAUCAAUACUUGUGAGUUAUUUCAGAUAGUUAAGAAGCUUUGUUUGUUCCUUAGUCGCCCCAACCAAAAUCUUAGGCAGAUUAACAUUUAAAUUUAUAAGUUAUGUUCAGUCUAUUUUUUUAAAGCUCAAUAGGGUCUUCUUGUCUAUCAAUUAAAUCUAGGUUUCUUCACCUAAAAAUCAAGUUCUAAAAAUUUAUAUAGAGACAGCUUUGCUCACGUCAAACCAUUCAUACUAGCCCUCAAUUAUAGGGCAAAUGAUUAUGCUACCUUUGCACGGUCAGAGUACCGCGGCCGUUAAAAAUCAGUUCACCGGGCAGGUCCGACUC
RNAcentral lists this ribosomal RNA (466 nucleotides) under Nesiocypraea teramachii. Its description in RNAcentral is "partial 16S large subunit ribosomal RNA". Lineage: Eukaryota; Metazoa; Mollusca; Gastropoda; Littorinimorpha; Cypraeidae. The record is from RNAcentral.